RNAcentral lists this transfer RNA (87 nucleotides) under Scedosporium apiospermum. It matches the Rfam family "tRNA". Rfam says of the family: Transfer RNA (tRNA) molecules are approximately 80 nucleotides in length. Their secondary structure includes four short double-helical elements and three loops (D, anti-codon, and T loops). Lineage: Eukaryota; Fungi; Ascomycota; Sordariomycetes; Microascales; Microascaceae. The record is from Rfam by way of RNAcentral.
GGUCUAAUGGUCUAGUUGGUUAGGACGUCGGAUUCUGAUACAAUAUCGAGAGUUCCGUAAGCCCAGGUUCGAAUCCUGGUUAGACCU